RNAcentral lists this ribosomal RNA (429 nucleotides) under Fusobacteriota bacterium. Its description in RNAcentral is "Fusobacteria bacterium partial 16S ribosomal RNA". It matches the Rfam family "Bacterial small subunit ribosomal RNA", at positions 355 to 776 of the family's 1533-position model. Lineage: Bacteria; Fusobacteriati; Fusobacteriota. The record is from RNAcentral.
UGGGGAAUAUUGCGCAAUGGGCGAAAGCCUGACGCAGCGACGCCGCGUGAGGGAUGAAGGUUUUCGGAUCGUAAACCUCUUUCAGAAGGGAAGAAACCGCACUGUGCUAAUCAGCAGUGCCUUGACGGUACCUUCAAAGGAAGCACCGGCUAACUCCGUGCCAGCAGCCGCGGUAAUACGGAGGGUGCAAGCGUUAAUCGGAAUUACUGGGCGUAAAGCGCACGUAGGCUGCUUUGUAAGUCAGGGGUGAAAUCCCACGGCUCAACCGUGGAACUGCCUUUGAUACUGCUUAGCUUGAAUCCGGGAGAGGGUGGCGGAAUUCCAGGUGUAGGAGUGAAAUCCGUAGAUAUCUGGAGGAACAUCAGUGGCGAAGGCGGCCACCUGGACCGGUAUUGACGCUGAGGUGCGAAAGCGUGGGGAGCAAACAGG